UCUGCAGAGAUGUGGAAGUGCUCGAAAGAGAACUUGAACACAGGUGCUGCAUGGCCGUCGUCAGCUCGUGUCGUGAGAUGUUGGGUUAAGUCCCGCAACGAGCGCAACCCUUGUCAUUAGUUGCUACGAAAGGGCACUCUAAUGAGACUGCCGGUGACAAACCGGAGGAAGGUGGGGAUGACGUCAGGUCCUCAUGGCCCUUAUGGGUAGGGCUACACACGUCAUACAAUGGCCGGUACAGAGGGCUGCCAACCCGCGAGGGGGAGCCAAUCCCAGAAAACCGGUCGUAGUCCGGAUCGCAGUCUGCAACUCGACUGCGUGAAGUCGGAAUCGCUAGUAAUCGCGGAUCAGCUUGCCGCGGUGAAUACGUUCCCGGGUCUUGUACACACCGCCCGUCACACCAUGGGAGCGGGUUCUGCCAGAAGUAGUUAGCCUAACCGCAAGGAGGGCGAUUACCACGGCAGGGUUCGUGACUGGGGUGAAGUCGUAACAAGGUAACCGUAA
This 504-nucleotide ribosomal RNA is filed under the name uncultured bacterium. RNAcentral's name for it is "bacterial SSU rRNA". It matches the Rfam family "Bacterial small subunit ribosomal RNA", at positions 997 to 1505 of the family's 1533-position model. The record is from RNAcentral.